AUGGAGACGGAGCCCGUGAGCGCGGCCACGGGGGCCACGGGGUCCGUCCUCAAGAAGCUGGGCGCUCUGCUGGCCGACGAGCACGCGAUUCCCAAUGGCGACGUCGAGUCCCUCAAGGCGGAGCUCCAGGCGGUGCACUCCUUCCUCAAGACACUAUCCCAGGCGGAGGAUCCCGGCGAGCGAGGCAGGCGCUGGAUGAAGGAGGCGCGGGAGUUCUCGUACGACGUGGAGGACGCCCUAGACGAGCUCAUGCUCCCUCCCCGCGACGGAUCUGGUAAUAGCAACCCAGAUGGCUUCUCUGAAAAGAUCAGCACAUGGUUGACGGAGGCGGCGGCUCGCCGUCGGACAGGCCAAGAGAUCAGCGACAGCAUCUCCAGGGCCGGCACCGGCGGCGUCGAGGCAGAGGAUCCCCGCCGGGACUGCUCUCUCUACAAGGAGACGGGUGAGCCCGUGGGCCUCGACGGGCCCGCUGAUGAACUCAUCAAAAUGUUGAACGGAGGAGGACAGCAAUUGGGGGUGGUUUCCAUCGUCGGGUGUGGCGGGCUGGGCAAGACGACCCUUGCUCGUCGUGUCUACAACACGUUCGGUGAGCAGUUUGAGUAUCGGGCUUUUGUCUCCGUCUCCCGGAAACCUCAUUUGGUGGCGAUUUUGAGGGAUAUUCGUAGCCAGCUGGGGUAUGAGUAUGACCAGACCUUAACUGAGGAUGCGCAAUCGUUCGCUGACAGCGUCUCCAAUUUCCUUCAGGAUAAAAGGUACUUCAUCGUAGUAGAUGAUGUAUGGGAUGUUCAAACAUGGGAUAUUAUCAAGGGUGCCUUUCCAAAAAGCAAUUUUGGCAGCAGAAUAAUCACGACAACGCGUAUACAUGAAGUAGCCAAAUCAUGCAGUGCAACAUGUGGGGGUCGAGCUUAUACGUUAAGCCCUCUCAUUACCGCCGACUCGGAAAGGUUGUUCUAUAAGAUAGUGUUUAAUUCUGGUGAGCAAUGCCCAUCCCACCUCAAAAGAGUUUCUGACAAGAUCUUGCAGAAAUGUGGUGGUCUGCCCCUGGCAAUUAUUGCUAUCUCUGGUUUGCUGAUUGCCAAAAAUCAUGAAGAUCAAUGGGAGCAAGUGUACACUUCUAUCUGGCAUGGACUUGGAAGCAACCCUGCUGUUGAAAGAACCAUGAGGAUUUUGUUGCUUGGCUACUUUGAUCUUAGCCCUUGCCUAAAAUCUUGCCUACUUUAUCUCAGUGUAUUCCCGGAAGGUUAUGCUAUCAAGAAGGAACGUUUGGUAAUGAGAUGGAUUGCUGAGGGAUUCAUUCCUGAAGAGCAUGGACAUACCCUGUAUGAGUCAGGAGAGAGGUGUUUUAACGAGCUCAUCAACCGGAACCUGAUCCAACCAGGGGAGAUGAAUAAGUUUGGUGAGGUGGAAAGUUGUCGAGUCCAUGGCAUAAUUCUUGAUUUCCUCGUAUCCAUGUCAAACCAAGACAAUUUUGUUACUUUCAUUGGUGUACCUGGUGUAAUCCCUGAGCCGCAAAACAAAGUCCGUCGAUUGUCUCUACAGGGCGACAAUGAAAUUCCUGCAGAUCUUAUUUUGUGUAAUGCCCGGUCACUUUCUGUUUUUGGUGGUUGUGUUAAAAUGCCAUCCCUGUCGAAGUUCAGACACUUGCGUAUUUUAGAUAUGGAAGGUUCUGGGGAAGUAGAAGAUCAACAUCUUGCAGAAAUAGGUGGUCUGUUCCAUCUCAAGUACCUGAGGCUCAAGUCAAAAGUUGGAAAGCUUCCCCAGCAAAUAGCAGAGUUACAGUACUUGGAGUCACUUGAGAUAUGUGAAAGCAAUGCGACAACUGAAAUUCCAUCAGCCAUCAAUCAACUCACACGGUUGGUGCGUCUAGUUGUUAACGAUGAAACUAUAUUACCGGAUGAAAUUGGAGGCAUCAAAGCAUUGCAAGUGCUCAGAGGCAUCAAUGUCAACACCCAGUCGACCAACUUUGUUCGGCAAGUUUGUCUGCUAUCAAACCUGAGGGAACUGAGCAUAAGUUUUAUCAACUAUUAUGCUGGUGAUAACUGGAAGGAGAACCAGGAAGAGAUGGUCAGUUCGAUAUGUCGCCUAGGCCGAGCAAACCUUCAUGUUCUACACAUUACUAUCAACGAGGGAGCAGAUGAGAUCUUUGAGGAGUCAUGGAGCCCUGCUCCACUUAGUCUCCGGGAACUUGUCGUCGAGGUGGGCGUUGUCUCGAGUGUUCCAAGAUGGAUUGGCUCACUUGUCAACCUCCAGAAAUUGGCGGUACCUAUGUGGGAAGUUGGGGAGGAGGAUGUGGUGAUCCUGGGAAGCCUGCCUGAUCUGCGCCAUCUUAGCCUCACUGCACUGGCAGCUGGGUCAAAAGAAGGGCGGCUUAGGGUCACCCAAAGCCAUGGAUUCCCUUCCUUGAUCAAUUUCCAGAUCGGCGGAGAAGAGUGUGCACUUGGGUUAGUUUUUGAAGCUGGUUCCAUGCCUAAGCUACAAAAUCUCGAGCUCGAGUUUGAUGCGGAGGAAACUAGUUCUGUGACUAAUGGUGGUUUUGAUUUUGGCAUCAAGCAUCUCUCCUGCCUCACAAGCACAACGGUUCGCUCUACUUACGACGAUCCCAUUCGUCCCACGUUGGAGGCUGCCAUGGAGAGAUGCAUCAACGACCAUCCCAACCGUCCCACGUUGAUAUGGAUGAAAUGA
RNAcentral lists this ribosomal RNA (2682 nucleotides) under Triticum aestivum (bread wheat). Its description in RNAcentral is "partial small subunit ribosomal RNA". The record is from RNAcentral. Lineage: Eukaryota; Viridiplantae; Streptophyta; Magnoliopsida; Poales; Poaceae.